GACUCGGUAGCUAAGUGGUAUAGCGUGGGAUUGCAGUCAAAGCUUGUAUCCUAAGGUCUCGUGUUCGAUCCACGAUCGGGUCU
This 83-nucleotide transfer RNA is filed under the name Phialocephala subalpina. It matches the Rfam family "tRNA". From Rfam's summary of the family: Transfer RNA (tRNA) molecules are approximately 80 nucleotides in length. Their secondary structure includes four short double-helical elements and three loops (D, anti-codon, and T loops). Further hydrogen bonds mediate the characteristic L-shaped molecular structure. tRNAs have two regions of fundamental functional importance: the anti-codon, which is responsible for specific mRNA codon recognition, and the 3' end, to which the tRNAs corresponding amino acid is attached (by aminoacyl-tRNA synthetases). tRNAs cope with the degeneracy of the genetic code in two manners: having more than one tRNA (with a specific anti-codon) for a particular amino acid; and 'wobble' base-pairing, i.e. permitting non-standard base-pairing at the 3rd anti-codon position. Lineage: Eukaryota; Fungi; Ascomycota; Leotiomycetes; Helotiales; Mollisiaceae. The record is from Rfam by way of RNAcentral.